RNAcentral lists this ribosomal RNA (253 nucleotides) under uncultured bacterium. RNAcentral's name for it is "partial 16S ribosomal RNA". It matches the Rfam family "Bacterial small subunit ribosomal RNA", at positions 524 to 776 of the family's 1533-position model. The record is from RNAcentral.
UACGGAGGGUGCAAGCGUUAUCCGGAUUUACUGGGUUUAAAGGGUGUGUAGGCGGACUUUUAAGUCAGCGGUGAAAUCUCCGGGCUCAACCCGGAAACUGCCAUUGAUACUAUUGGUCUUGAAUGUUGAGGAGGUGGGCGGAACGGGUCAUGUAGCGGUGAAAUGCUUAGAGAUGACCCGGAACACCGAUUGCGAAGGCAGCCCACUACGCAACUAUUGACGCUGAGGCACGAAAGCGUGGGGAUCAAACAGG